GCACCCUCCUUCCUAACCUCACUCGAAUAACCAUGCUAACCACCAGCACACUACAACUCGCGAACACUUACUUACGCAAAGGUUUCGUCGCUCUUUUUCGAUUUUUUUAAUGUUGUAAAACUCGCCGAAAUUUAUUUUUUCUAUAAAAUCUUGCCCAUUUUUGCAGGGCUCGGCGGAACCACAGCGGCGCCGAUGAGCACAACAGUGCCGCAUGAUCGCACGGAAACUGGGUCGCCGGAAAACGAACGAAAGUUUAAG
This 258-nucleotide small RNA is filed under the name Caenorhabditis elegans. RNAcentral describes it as "Unclassified non-coding RNA W08A12.6". Lineage: Eukaryota; Metazoa; Nematoda; Chromadorea; Rhabditida; Rhabditidae. The record is from RNAcentral.